CCUACGGGAGGCAGCAGUGGGGAAUAUUGCACAAUGGGCGCAAGCCUGAUGCAGCCAUGCCGCGUGUAUGAAGAAGGCCUUCGGGUUGUAAAGUACUUUCAGCGGGGAGGAAGGUGUUGAUGGUUAAUAACCNCAGCAAUUGACGUUACCCGCAGAAGAAGCACCGGCUAACUCCGUGCCAGCAGCCGCGGUAAU
Molecule: ribosomal RNA, 195 nt
Filed under: uncultured bacterium
Lineage: Bacteria
Description: partial 16S ribosomal RNA
Rfam family: Bacterial small subunit ribosomal RNA
Source: RNAcentral